CGCGGGGUGGAGCAGUUCGGUAGCUCGUCGGGCUCAUAACCCGAAGGUCGCAGGUUCAAAUCCUGCCCCCGCCACCA
This 77-nucleotide transfer RNA is filed under the name Sphingomonas sp. Its description in RNAcentral is "tRNA-Met". It matches the Rfam family "tRNA". From Rfam's summary of the family: Transfer RNA (tRNA) molecules are approximately 80 nucleotides in length. Their secondary structure includes four short double-helical elements and three loops (D, anti-codon, and T loops). The record is from RNAcentral. Lineage: Bacteria; Pseudomonadati; Pseudomonadota; Alphaproteobacteria; Sphingomonadales; Sphingomonadaceae. RNAcentral also lists the same sequence under 13 other names.